AUUGAACGCUGGCGGAAUGCUUUACACAUGCAAGUCGAACGGCAGCACGGGGCAACCUGGUGGCGAGUGGCGAACGGGUGAGUAAUACAUCGGAACGUGCCCAAUCGUGGGGGGAUAACGUAGCGAAAGUUACGCUAAUACCGCAUACGAUCUACGGAUGAAAGCGGGGGAUCGCAAGACCUCGCGCGAAUGGAGCGGCCGAUGUCAGAUUAGGUAGUUGGUGGGGUAAAGGCUCACCAAGCCAACGAUCUGUAGCUGGUCUGAGAGGACGACCAGCCACACUGGAACUGAGACACGGUCCAGACUCCUACGGGAGGCAGCAGUGGGGAAUUUGGACAAUGGGCGCAAGCCUGAUCCAGCCAUUCCGCGUGCAGGAUGAAGGCCUUCGGGUUGUAAACUGCUUUUGUACGGAACGAAACGGUCUGCCCUAAUACGGCGGGCUAAUGACGGUACCGUAAGAAUAAGCACCGGCUAACUACGUGCCAGCAGCCGCGGUAAACUCGUCUA
This 507-nucleotide ribosomal RNA is filed under the name uncultured bacterium. Its description in RNAcentral is "bacterial SSU rRNA". It matches the Rfam family "Bacterial small subunit ribosomal RNA", at positions 30 to 529 of the family's 1533-position model. The record is from RNAcentral.